RNAcentral lists this ribosomal RNA (199 nucleotides) under Paenibacillus typhae. RNAcentral's name for it is "partial 16S ribosomal RNA". It matches the Rfam family "Bacterial small subunit ribosomal RNA", at positions 588 to 787 of the family's 1533-position model. The record is from RNAcentral. Lineage: Bacteria; Bacillati; Bacillota; Bacilli; Caryophanales; Paenibacillaceae.
UCUGGUGUUUAAACCUUGGGCUCAACCUGAGGUCGCACUGGAAACUGGGUGGCUUGAGUACAGAAGAGGAAAGUGGAAUUCCACGUGUAGCGGUGAAAUGCGUAGAGAUGUGGAGGAACACCAGUGGCGAAGGCGACUUUCUGGGCUGUAACUGACGCUGAGGCGCGAAAGCGUGGGGAGCAAACAGGAUUAGAUACCC